This 274-nucleotide ribosomal RNA is filed under the name uncultured bacterium. Its description in RNAcentral is "partial 16S ribosomal RNA". It matches the Rfam family "Bacterial small subunit ribosomal RNA", at positions 523 to 796 of the family's 1533-position model. The record is from RNAcentral.
AUACGUAGGGAGCAAGCGUUGUUCGGAUUUACUGGGCGUAAAGGGUGCGUAGGCGGCGCGACAAGUCACUUGUGAAAUCUCCGGGCUUAACUCGGAACGGCCAAGUGAAACUGUUGUGCUAGAGUGCAGGAAGGGCAACUGGAAUUCUUGGUGUAGCGGUGAAAUGCGUAGAUAUCAAGAGGAACACCUGAGGCGAAGGCGAGUUGCUAGACUGACACUGACGCUGAGGCACGAAAGCUAGGGGAGCGAACGGGAUUAGAAACCCCAGUAGUCC